RNAcentral lists this ribosomal RNA (254 nucleotides) under uncultured bacterium. Its description in RNAcentral is "partial 16S ribosomal RNA". It matches the Rfam family "Bacterial small subunit ribosomal RNA", at positions 524 to 776 of the family's 1533-position model. The record is from RNAcentral.
UACGUAGGGUGCGAGCGUUAAUCGGAAUACUGGGCGUAAAGCGUGCGCAGGCGGUGAUGUAAGACAGAUGUGAAAUCCCCGGGCUCAACCUGGGAACUGCAUUUGUGACUGCAUCGCUGGAGUGCGGGCAGAGGGGGAUGGAAUUCCGCGUGUAGCAGUGAAAUGCGUAGAUAUGCGGAGGAACACCGAUGGCGAAGGCAAUCCCCUGGGCCUGCACUGACGCUCAUGCACGAAAGCGUGGGGGAGCAAACAGG